AUGGCGGCGCGCGGGCAGGGGCUUGAGCAAGAUUUUGAUUUCUUCGUGGUGGUCGACUUCGAGGCAACGUGCGUCAAAGACGCGCGGAUCUUCCCCUAGGAAAUCAUUGAGUUCCCCGCCGUGCUCGUCGACAGCGCCACCGGCCGCAUCGAGUCCGCGUUUCGCAGGUACGUUCGUCCAAAACAUCACCCUGUGCUGACCCAGUUUUGCAGGGAACUCACCGGCAUCCGGCAGGAGGACGUCGACGGCAACGUGGAUCUCGGCGAGGCGCUCUGGUUCCACGACGCUUGGCUGAAGGCGGCGACGGCGGGGGCAGGGAAGAAGAGACGCGUCCGCUUGGCCAUCGUGACCUGGGGUGACUGGGAUUGACGGACCAUGCUGGAGUUCGAGUGCCGCUUCGAGGGCAUCGAGAAGCCCUCCUACUUCGAUCAGUGGAUCAAUCUGAGAGUCCCCUUCUAGGAGGCGCUCGGCGGCGGAGGGAGGGUCAACCUACAGGAGGCGAUCCGGGCGGCGGGGUUGGACUGGGAGGGCCGCCUGCACUGUGGACUCGACGAUGCGUGCAACACGGCGCGGCUGCUUGCUGAGAUCAUGCGGCGCGGGGUCAAGACGACCAUCACCGGCUCGCUGGCGCCGCCGCCGCCGAUCCAGCAGCAGCAGCCGCAGAUAAGCCCCUGUGGUGGCACAUUUGCGCUGGCGCCGGCGCCGAUUCAGCAGAAGCAGCAGUCGCCGCAGCCUCACAUAAUAGGCCCCUGCGGUGGGCCGAUGCAGUCUGGAUGCGCCAACUGGACGCCGGCCAUGGGAGCCGUGUGCCCCUAAUUCCUGUGGACCAACUGA
RNAcentral lists this ribosomal RNA (834 nucleotides) under Triticum aestivum (bread wheat). RNAcentral's name for it is "partial small subunit ribosomal RNA". Lineage: Eukaryota; Viridiplantae; Streptophyta; Magnoliopsida; Poales; Poaceae. The record is from RNAcentral.